RNAcentral lists this ribosomal RNA (254 nucleotides) under uncultured bacterium. Its description in RNAcentral is "partial 16S ribosomal RNA". It matches the Rfam family "Bacterial small subunit ribosomal RNA", at positions 524 to 776 of the family's 1533-position model. The record is from RNAcentral.
UACGUAGGGUGCGAGCGUUGUCCGGAAUUAUUGGGCGUAAAGAGCUCGUAGGCGGUGUGUCGCGUCGGCCGUGAAAACCUGCAGCUUAACUGUGGGCUUGCGGUCGAUACGGGCAUCACUGGAGUUCGGCAGGGGAGACUGGAAUUCCUGGUGUAGCGGUGAAAUGCGCAGAUAUCAGGAGGAACACCGGUGGCGAAGGCGGGUCUCUGGGCCGAUACUGACGCUGAGGAGCGAAAGCAUGGGUAGCGAACAGG